GACGAACGCUGGCGGCGUGCUUAACACAUGCAAGUCGAACGGUGAAGCUCCAGCUUGCUGGAGUGGAUCAGUGGCGAACGGGUGAGUAACACGUGAGCAACCUGCCCCUGACUCUGGAAUAAGCGCUGGAAACGGCGUCUAAUACUGGAUACGAGAAGGGUCCGCAUGGGCACUUUCUGGAAAGUUUUUCGGUUGGGGAUGGGCUCGCGGCCUAUCAGCUUGUUGGUGAGGUAAUGGCUCACCAAGGCGACGACGGGUAGCCGGCCUGAGAGGGCGACCGGCCACGCUGGGACUGAGACACGGCCCAGACUCCUACGGGAGGCAGCAGUGGGGAAUAUUGCACAAUGGGCGAAAGCCUGAUGCAGCGACGCCGCGUGAGGGAUGACGGCCUUCGGGUUGUAAACCUCUUUCAGCAGGGAAGAAGCGAAAGUGACGGUACCUGCAGAAGAAGCACCGGCUAACUACGUG
This 468-nucleotide ribosomal RNA is filed under the name uncultured bacterium. RNAcentral's name for it is "partial 16S ribosomal RNA". It matches the Rfam family "Bacterial small subunit ribosomal RNA", at positions 28 to 507 of the family's 1533-position model. The record is from RNAcentral.